This 22-nucleotide microRNA is filed under the name Panagrellus redivivus. RNAcentral's name for it is "prd-miR-1175-5p". The record is from miRBase by way of RNAcentral. Lineage: Eukaryota; Metazoa; Nematoda; Chromadorea; Rhabditida; Panagrolaimidae.
AAGUGAAGAGAAGAAUCUGACU